This 322-nucleotide ribosomal RNA is filed under the name uncultured bacterium. RNAcentral describes it as "bacterial SSU rRNA". It matches the Rfam family "Bacterial small subunit ribosomal RNA", at positions 195 to 498 of the family's 1533-position model. The record is from RNAcentral.
UACGGGAGAAAGCAGGGGACCUUCGGGCCUUGCGCUAUCAGAUGAGCCUAGGUCGGAUUAGCUAGUUGGUGGGGUAAUGGCUCACCAAGGCGACGAUCCGUAACUGGUCUGAGAGGAUGAUCAGUCACACUGGAACUGAGACACGGUCCAGACCCCUACGGGAGGCAGCAGUGGGGAAUAUUGGACAAUGGGCGAAAGCCUGAUCCAGCCAUGCCGCGUGUGUGAAGAAGGUCUUCGGAUUGUAAAGCACUUUAAGUUGGGAGGAAGGGUUGUAGAUUAAUACUCUGCAAUUUUGACGUUACCGACAGAAUAAGCACCGGCU